AGUUUGAUCCUGGCUCAGAGCGAACGUUAGCGGCGGGCUUAACACAUGCAAGUCGAACGCGGAAAGGGAUUCGUACCCCGGUAGCGUGGCGUCCGGGUGAGUAACACGUAGGAAACCUACCCUCGAGCGGGGGAUAACGUUCCGAAAGGAACGCUAAUACCGCAUAAGACCACGUCGGCUCCGGCCGACGAGGUCAAAGAUGGCCUCUGUACACAAGCUAUCACUUGAGGAUGGUCCUGCGGCGCAUCAGCUAGUUGGUGGGGUAAUGGCCUACCAAGGCGAAGACGCGUAGCUGGUCUGAGAGGAUGAUCAGCCACACUGGCACUGAAACACGGGCCAGACUCCUACGGGAGGCAGCAGUGGGGAAUAUUGGUCAAUGGGCGCAAGCCUGAACCAGCCACGCCGCGUGAGUGAUGAAGGCCUUCGGGUUGUAAAGCUCUGUGGGGAGGGAAGAAAACGGCCAGUAAGAAACGACUGGUCCUUGACGGUACCUCCUUAGCAAGCACCGGCUAACUCUGUGCCAGCAGCCGCGGUAA
Molecule: ribosomal RNA, 536 nt
Filed under: uncultured delta proteobacterium
Lineage: Bacteria; Deltaproteobacteria
Description: bacterial SSU rRNA
Rfam family: Bacterial small subunit ribosomal RNA
Source: RNAcentral